RNAcentral lists this ribosomal RNA (373 nucleotides) under uncultured eukaryote. RNAcentral's name for it is "partial 18S ribosomal RNA". It matches the Rfam family "Eukaryotic small subunit ribosomal RNA", at positions 592 to 976 of the family's 1831-position model. The record is from RNAcentral.
CAAUAGCGUAUAUUAAAGUUGUUGCAGUUAAAAAGCUCGUAGUUGAAUUUUUGCUUGACGCCGAUGUCGGAACUUCCGUACGUUCGGCGGCGUGCAUCCUUGGGUGGAACCUGUGUGGCAUUAGGUUGUCGUGCAGGGGAUGCUCAUCGUUUACUGUGAAAAAAUUAGAGUGUUCAAAGCAGGCUUACGCCGUUGAAUAUAUUAGCAUGGAAUAAUAAGAUAGGACCUUGGUACUAUUUUGUUGGUUUGCGCACCGAGGUAAUGAUUAACAGGGACAGUUGGGGGUAUUCGUAUUCCAUUGUCAGAGGUGAAAUUCUUGGAUUUCUGGAAGACGAACUACUGCGAAAGCAUUUACCAAGGAUGUUUUCAUUAA